RNAcentral lists this transfer RNA (96 nucleotides) under Helicobacter sp. Its description in RNAcentral is "tRNA-OTHER". The record is from RNAcentral. Lineage: Bacteria; Pseudomonadati; Campylobacterota; Epsilonproteobacteria; Campylobacterales; Helicobacteraceae.
GAAGUAGGCGAUGCGCUCAGUUGGGAGAGGGACGUUGAAGGGCUUCCAUUUUGGUUGCCUACGUUGUAUGGUGGUUCGAAUCCACGCCCUACUUCU